GACGAACGCUGGCGGCGUGCUUAACACAUGCAAGUCGAACGGAAAGGCCCUGCUUGCGGGGUACUCGAGUGUCGAACGGGUGAGUAACACGUGGGUGAUCUGCCCUGCACUUCGGGAUAAGCCUGGGAAACUGGGUCUAAUACCGGAUAGGAGCCAUUUUUAGUGUUAUGGUUGGAAAGUUUUUUCGGUGUAGGAUGAGCUCGCGGCCUAUCAGCUUGUUGGUGGGGUAAUGGCCUACCAAGGCGGCGACGGGUAGCCGGCCUGGGAGGGUGGACGGCCAAAAUGGGACUGAGAUACGGCCCAGACUCCUACGGGAGGCAGCAGGGGGGAAUAUUGCAAAAUGGGCGGAAGCCUGAUGCAGCGACGCCGCGUGGGGGAUGACGGCCUUCGGGUUGGAAACUCCUUUCGCUAGGGACGAAGCUUUUUGUGACGGUACCUAGAAAAGAAGCACCGGCUAACUAUGUG
RNAcentral lists this ribosomal RNA (465 nucleotides) under uncultured bacterium. RNAcentral's name for it is "partial 16S ribosomal RNA". It matches the Rfam family "Bacterial small subunit ribosomal RNA", at positions 28 to 507 of the family's 1533-position model. The record is from RNAcentral.